RNAcentral lists this ribosomal RNA (252 nucleotides) under uncultured bacterium. RNAcentral describes it as "partial 16S ribosomal RNA". It matches the Rfam family "Bacterial small subunit ribosomal RNA", at positions 524 to 776 of the family's 1533-position model. The record is from RNAcentral.
UACGGAGGGGCGAGCGUUAUUCGGAAUUAUUGGGCGUAAAGGGCGCGUAGGCGGCCUGAUAAGUCAAAGGUGAAAUCCCUCGGCUCAACUGAGGAAUUGCCUUUGAAACUGUCAGGCUUGAGGCCGGGAGGGGUGGCGGAAUUCCCAGUGUAGCGGUGAAAUUCGUAGAUAUUGGGUGGAACACCGGUGGCGAAAGCGGCUCUCUGGCCCGGUUCUGACCGCUGAGGCGCGAAAGCGUGGGGAGCAAACAGG